Molecule: ribosomal RNA, 252 nt
Filed under: uncultured bacterium
Lineage: Bacteria
Description: partial 16S ribosomal RNA
Rfam family: Bacterial small subunit ribosomal RNA
Source: RNAcentral
CGUAGGUGCAAGCGUUAAUCGGAAUUACUGGGCGUAAAGCGUGCGCAGGCGGUUUCGUAAGACAGAUGUGAAAUCCCCGGGCUCAACCUGGGAACUGCAUUUGUGACUGCGAGGCUAGAGUGUGUCAGAGGGAGGUGGAAUUCCGCGUGUAGCAGUGAAAUGCGUAGAGAUGCGGAGGAACACCGAUGGCGAAGGCAGCCUCCUGGGAUAACACUGACGCUCAGGCACGAAAGCGUGGGAGCAAACAGGAUU